AGGAUGUUUCGGGUGAAGCCACGGUCCAAGUCCCUUGGAACAGGACGUCAUAGAGGGUGAGAACCCCGUACCUGGCCGUCGGCUCCCCCCGCUGUGAAACUCCUUCAACGAGUCGAGUUGUUUGGGAAUGCAGCUCUAAAUUGGUGGUAAAUUCCAUCUAAAGCUAAAUACCGGCCAGAGACCGAUAGCGCACAAGUAGAGUGAUCGAAAGAUGAAAAGCACUUUGAAAAGAGAGUUAAAAAGUACGUGAAAUUGUUGAAAGGGAAGCGCUUGCGGCCAGACUUGCCCGCGGUUGCUCAGCCCGCCUUUUGGCGGGUGCACUCUUCCGCGGUCAGGCCAGCAUCGGUUUGGGCGGUCGGAUAAAGGCGUUGGGAACGUGGCCUCCCCUCGGGGAGGUGUUAUAGCCCGGCGCGCAAUGCGACCAGCCCGGACCGAGGUUCGCGCUUUGCUAGGAUGCUGGCGUAAUGGCCGUAAGCGGCCCGUCUUGAAACACGGACCAAGGAGUCUAACAUCUAUGCGAGUGUUUGGGUGUCAAACCCGUGCGCGUAAUGAAAGUGAACGGAGGUGGGAACCGCAAGGUGCACCAUCGACCGAUCCUGAUGUCUUCGGAAGGAUUUGAGUAAGAGCAUAGCUGUUGGGACCCGAAAGAUGGUGAACUAUGCGUGAAUAGGGUGAAGCCAGAGGAAACUCUGGUGGAGGCUCGCAGCGGUUCUGACGUGCAAAUCGAUCGUCAA
This 734-nucleotide ribosomal RNA is filed under the name Venturia minuta. RNAcentral's name for it is "partial large subunit ribosomal RNA". It matches the Rfam family "Eukaryotic large subunit ribosomal RNA", at positions 156 to 908 of the family's 3401-position model. Lineage: Eukaryota; Fungi; Ascomycota; Dothideomycetes; Venturiales; Venturiaceae. The record is from RNAcentral.